RNAcentral lists this ribosomal RNA (465 nucleotides) under Vreelandella stevensii. RNAcentral describes it as "partial 16S ribosomal RNA". It matches the Rfam family "Bacterial small subunit ribosomal RNA", at positions 338 to 795 of the family's 1533-position model. Lineage: Bacteria; Pseudomonadati; Pseudomonadota; Gammaproteobacteria; Oceanospirillales; Halomonadaceae. The record is from RNAcentral.
CCUACGUGUGGCAGCAGUGGGGAAUAUUGGACAAUGGGCGAAAGCCUGAUCCAGCCAUGCCGCGUGUGUGAAGAAGGCCUUCGGGUUGUAAAGCACUUUCAGUUGGGAAGAAAGCCUUGGGGCUAAUACCCUCGAGGAAGGACAUCACCCACAGAAGAAGCACCGGCUAACUCCGUGCCAGCAGCCGCGGUAAUACGGAGGGUGCGAGCGUUAAUCGGAAUUACUGGGCGUAAAGCGCGCGUAGGCGGUCUGAUAAGCCGGUUGUGAAAGCCCCGGGCUCAACCUGGGAACGGCAUCCGGAACUGUCAGGCUAGAGUGCAGGAGAGGAAGGUAGAAUUCCCGGUGUAGCGGUGAAAUGCGUAGAGAUCGGGAGGAAUACCAGUGGCGAAGGCGGCCUUCUGGACUGACACUGACGCUGAGGUGCGAAAGCGUGGGUAGCAAACAGGAUUAGAUACCCGAGUAGUC